Molecule: non-coding RNA, 144 nt
Organism: Aspergillus leporis
Lineage: Eukaryota; Fungi; Ascomycota; Eurotiomycetes; Eurotiales; Aspergillaceae
Source: the annotation of a GenBank genome assembly
GCCCCUAUAGCUCAGUGGUAGAGCGCUUCACUGUAAGUUACCGUAUCAAAAUCGACGGAGUUGAAUCUCCAAUGUUGACCUUCUUAGCGUAGUGUACUCUUAAGUGCUAUGAAGAGGUCCAUCGUUCGAACCGGUGUGGGGGCA